Molecule: transfer RNA, 67 nt
Filed under: Marmota monax (woodchuck)
Lineage: Eukaryota; Metazoa; Chordata; Mammalia; Rodentia; Sciuridae
Description: tRNA.Ala
Source: RNAcentral
GGCUAUGGCUCAGUGGUAGAGUGUUCACCUAGCAUGUGUGAGGCACUGGGUCCGAUCCUCAGCACCA